Molecule: transfer RNA, 75 nt
Filed under: Alphaproteobacteria bacterium 43-37
Lineage: Bacteria; Pseudomonadati; Pseudomonadota; Alphaproteobacteria
Also listed under: 1 other name
Description: tRNA-Thr
Rfam family: tRNA
About the family: Transfer RNA (tRNA) molecules are approximately 80 nucleotides in length.
Source: RNAcentral
GCCGAAGUAGCUCAGGGGUAGAGCAACUGAUUCGUAAUCAGUGGGUCGGAGGUUCAAUUCCUCUCUUCGGCACCA